Long non-coding RNA from Acanthochromis polyacanthus (spiny chromis), 382 nucleotides. RefSeq lists it as uncharacterized. The transcript is spliced from 3 exons. Lineage: Eukaryota; Metazoa; Chordata; Actinopteri; Pomacentridae. The record is from RefSeq and is a predicted model, not a curated record.
AUGUAGACCAGCGAUCCUGAUAAUGUUGUUGGCCUUGGAUGAUGAGGUCCAGUUACCAGGAGCACUAGUCUGCAGCUUACUGGUUCCGUCCUGCAGCUCCUCCACGCUGUCCUCCUCUCUACAGACCAAAUCAAGAAAAGGGAACCAGGAAGCUGCUGUGGAUCCUCUGCAGUAUCUGGAGAGGUCAGAGGAACGGUUCUUGGAACAGAUCGGAAGACACCAAGACGUGACCUCUGCCAUGCUCCAGAACAUCCAGAAGAUGAAUGAAAACCUUGGUUGCACUGAUGGGAUGCAUGGUGUCGGUGCUGGAGCAACUGUCCCAGAAUUAAACUGCAUUGUUGACUAUUGGCUUUUCUAGAAAAUAAAUCUUUUUUAGUACUUC